UACGGAGGAUGCGAGCGUUAUCCGGAUUUAUUGGGUUUAAAGGGUGCGUAGGCGGACGCUUAAGUCAGCGGUAAAAUUGCGGGGCUCAACCUCGUCGAGCCGUUGAAACUGGGUGCCUUGAGUGGGCGAGAAGUACGCGGAAUGCGUGGUGUAGCGGUGAAAUGCAUAGAUAUCACGCAGAACUCCGAUUGCGAAGGCAGCGUACCGGCGCCCUACUGGCGCUGAAGCACGAAGGCGUGGGUAUCGAACAGG
This 252-nucleotide ribosomal RNA is filed under the name uncultured bacterium. RNAcentral's name for it is "partial 16S ribosomal RNA". It matches the Rfam family "Bacterial small subunit ribosomal RNA", at positions 524 to 776 of the family's 1533-position model. The record is from RNAcentral.